Molecule: long non-coding RNA, 282 nt
Filed under: Ananas comosus (pineapple)
Lineage: Eukaryota; Viridiplantae; Streptophyta; Magnoliopsida; Poales; Bromeliaceae
Description: long non-coding RNA (ACOM_LNC018764)
Source: RNAcentral
UACUGAAUGGCUUAUCAUAUUCCGAGAAAAACUAAGAAUUUGUGAAACAAUCGUUAUACUCUAAAAACUUAUGCUGUUAGAGAACGGUGUUUAUAUAUUUUUGCAUUUAACACUUUUCCUCGCGUAUGGACUAGAGACUUUUUGCAAGGCUCAUGACAUGAAUUUAAAUUAAAUAGGAAGAAAUUAAUAAUGUUAGGAGUCUGGCAUAAUUUGAACUCAGAACCUCCUACUCUGAUAUCAUAUACGAAACAACCGUUGUAGUCUUUAGUAAAAAUGCGGGUG